CUGUGAGGGAUCAUGCUUCUUAUGCCUUCAACAAUUACUAUCAGAAGUACAAACACAAAGGGGGAAGCUGCUACUUCAAUGCUGCUGCCAUGGUUACUGCCCUUGAUCCAAGUCACACCUCAUGCCACUAUGAGUAUAUGCCUUAGUUCAGAAGAGGCUCUUCAAACCACAGAUGCUAUUUUCUGACUCCAACUGGCUGAUUAGAAGCUUUCAUUUUGUUCUUGUCUGCUCUUUUUUUUUUUUUUUUUUUUGGUCUUCAGUGAUUCCCAUAUCCAUGAUUGAUAAACUACAAAGUAAAGUAGCUAGCUUGAUGUUGCUUUUA
Molecule: long non-coding RNA, 322 nt
Organism: Ipomoea nil (Japanese morning glory)
Lineage: Eukaryota; Viridiplantae; Streptophyta; Magnoliopsida; Solanales; Convolvulaceae
Exons: 2
Source: RefSeq, a predicted model, not a curated record